RNAcentral lists this ribosomal RNA (460 nucleotides) under uncultured bacterium. RNAcentral describes it as "partial 16S ribosomal RNA". It matches the Rfam family "Bacterial small subunit ribosomal RNA", at positions 338 to 795 of the family's 1533-position model. The record is from RNAcentral.
CCUACGGGGUGCAGCAGUGAGGAAUAUUGGUCAAUGGACGAGAGUCUGAACCAGCCAAGUAGCGUGAAGGAUGACUGCCCUAUGGGUUGUAAACUUCUUUUAUAUGGGAAUAAAACGUUCCACGUGUGGGAUUUUGUAUGUACCAUAUGAAUAAGGAUCGGCUAACUCCGUGCCAGCAGCAGCGGUAAUACGGAGGAUCCGAGCGUUAUCCGGAUUUAUUGGGUUUAAGGGGAGCGUAGGUGGAUUGUUAAGUCAGUUGUGAAAGUUUGCGGCUCAACCGUAAAAUUGCAGUUGAAACUGGCAGUCUUGAGUACAGUAGAGGUGGGCGGAAUUCGUGGUGUAGCGGUGAAAUGCUUAGAUAUCACGAAGAACUCCGAUUGCGAAGGCAGUUCACUGGACUGCAACUGACACUGAGGCUCGAAAGUGUGGGUAUCAAACAGGAUUAGAUACCCUGGUAGUC